Molecule: ribosomal RNA, 301 nt
Filed under: uncultured bacterium
Lineage: Bacteria
Description: partial 16S ribosomal RNA
Rfam family: Bacterial small subunit ribosomal RNA
Source: RNAcentral
CAGUAGCCGCGGUAAUACGUAGGGUGCAAGCGUUAAUCGGAAUUACUGGGCGUAAAGCGUGCGCAGGCGGUUCGUUAAGACAGAUGUGAAAUCCCCGGGCUUAACCUGGGAACUGCAUUUGUGACUGGCGGGCUAGAGUAUGGCAGAGGGGGGUAGAAUUCCACGUGUAGCAGUGAAAUGCGUAGAGAUGUGGAGGAAUACCGAUGGCGAAGGCAGCCCCCUGGGCCAAUACUGACGCUCAUGCACGAAAGCGUGGGGAGCGAACAGGAUUAGAUACCCGAGUAGUCCCUGUCUCUUAUAC